AGUUUAAAGAAAUUAUUUUAAAUGAAUCCUGCCCAGUGUUAAUUUAUAAAUGGCCGCAGUACCCUGACUGUGCGAAGGUAGCAUAAUCAAUUGGCUUUUAAUUAAAGUCUGGAAUGAAUGGAAAUUUGGAAAAAAGCUGUCUCAAAAAUAUUUAAUCGAAUUUAAUUAUUAGGUGAAAAUACCUAUUUUAAGAAAAAAGACGAGAAGACCCUUAGAAUUUUUAUAAUAUUAUUUAUUUAAUUUAUUUUUGUUGGGGCGACAAUUAAACAUUUUAAACUUUAAUUUUUAAUAUGUAACGAAAUUGUUAUAAAAGAAUAAAUUACCUUAGGGAUAACAGCAUAAUUUAUUUAUAAGUUUGUGACCUCGAUGUUGGACUAGGAACUUGAUGGCAAGCAGUCAAAAUAGAUUUGUUCUGUUCGAACAAUAUUAUCCU
Molecule: ribosomal RNA, 433 nt
Filed under: Protancylus sp. voucher 10763
Lineage: Eukaryota; Metazoa; Mollusca; Gastropoda; Protancylidae
Description: partial large subunit ribosomal RNA
Source: RNAcentral